AUGUACCAAGGUGGUCCUUCAAGGAAGCAAGGACCCAGGCUCGCAAUGCGCGAUGGCGACGAUGAACCACCGAGGGAAGCUCAAGUGUGGGCUUGUGAAUGGCCUUCAGAGGACUUUAUGGAUCGUGCAGGAAUCAAGGAAGAAUUUAACGCAUAUGUGCGUAAUGCUGAUCUUGAGAGCUUCGAGGCAGAUAAGUGCCGCCAGUACCACUAUCUCACUGAUUCCUUUGUGAGAAGGUUUGAAUUUUCAUCAUCACACAAUUCUCAAACUGUCCUAUUUGAUCUUUAUGAAAAUUCUUAUACUAUGGACUUAGAGGAUUUUAAUACUGCUUGCAAACUUCCACAAUGGGGUAGUCCUAAUGAACCUCGCAAAUCUGAAUUUAGAGAUUUUCUUGCUAGUAUAACUGUGGGGGAAUCUAGAGAUAUAACACAAGCUACCAUAGGGAGCAUUUAUUUUCCUGCUAUACAUUAUUUUGCUCUCUUCAUAGGUAGGUGCAUAAAUAGUAAGGAUGAAGCAUGUCACAUGUGUGUCCCUGACCUUAGUGUUCUCAGGAGUUUUGUAUUAGAAGAUAAACAUUAUAACUUGGGAGCCAUUGUUGCACGUAGGUUGCAUAAUAAUAUGUUUAAUGGAGAUUUCUUCGGUGGAAUUUAUGCAACCCGUCUAGCUAAUUUUCUUGAUAUACCCAUACGUGGGUAUGAUAUUGAGUUGCCUCCUGUUUAUUUAGAUUAUGAGGCUAUGGUUCGUCAUCAGUUUGUUGAGAGGAACGAUCAGUUCCUCCAGUACCGACUAAUCUUUGACAGACGACGCACCUAUCACGUCGCUCUCCCGGCUCCUGUUUUCUUUGACUCUUUGGCAAAAGGGAGAUAUGUUAUAACCAGGGAGGAGGCAGACGAGUAUAAGAGGACGACGGAGACGGCUCGUCUCCAAGCGGCGGCUCAUGAGGCAAUAGCUGCUGCAUCUCAGUACGACCCCAACUAUAACUUUGGAUAUCCGCCAGGCCAGCCGUGGCCAUAG
RNAcentral lists this ribosomal RNA (1014 nucleotides) under Triticum aestivum (bread wheat). RNAcentral describes it as "partial small subunit ribosomal RNA". The record is from RNAcentral. Lineage: Eukaryota; Viridiplantae; Streptophyta; Magnoliopsida; Poales; Poaceae.